This 249-nucleotide ribosomal RNA is filed under the name uncultured bacterium. RNAcentral describes it as "partial 16S ribosomal RNA". It matches the Rfam family "Bacterial small subunit ribosomal RNA", at positions 523 to 769 of the family's 1533-position model. The record is from RNAcentral.
AGACGAAGGAUGCAAGCGUUAUCCGGAUUCAUUGGGUUUAAAGGGUGCGUAGGCGGACCUGUAAGUCAGUGGUGAAAUCUCUUUGCUUAACAAAGAAACUGCCAUUGAUACUGCAAGUCUAGAGUAUAGAUGACGUUGGCGGAAUAUGACAUGUAGUGGUGAAAUACUUAGAUAUGUCAUAGAACACCGAUUGCGAAGGCAGCUAAACGAAACUAUAACUGACGCUGAGGCAACGAAAGUGCGGGGAUC